Molecule: non-coding RNA, 73 nt
Organism: Myotis lucifugus (little brown bat)
Lineage: Eukaryota; Metazoa; Chordata; Mammalia; Chiroptera; Vespertilionidae
Source: Rfam
ACCCUGGCAGCUCAGUUGGUUAGAGCACUAUCCUGAUAUGCCAAAGUUGUGGGUUCAAUCCCCAGUCAGGGCA